Molecule: transfer RNA, 73 nt
Filed under: Camelus bactrianus (Bactrian camel)
Lineage: Eukaryota; Metazoa; Chordata; Mammalia; Artiodactyla; Camelidae
Also listed under: 2 other names
Rfam family: tRNA
About the family: Transfer RNA (tRNA) molecules are approximately 80 nucleotides in length. Their secondary structure includes four short double-helical elements and three loops (D, anti-codon, and T loops).
Source: Rfam by way of RNAcentral
GAGGGUAUAGCUCAAGUGGUACAGCACAUGCUUAGAACACAUGAGGUCCUAGGUACAAUCCUCAGUACCUCCU